Molecule: ribosomal RNA, 460 nt
Filed under: uncultured bacterium
Lineage: Bacteria
Description: partial 16S ribosomal RNA
Rfam family: Bacterial small subunit ribosomal RNA
Source: RNAcentral
CCUACGGGUGGCUGCAGUGAGGAAUAUUGGUCAAUGGACGAGAGUCUGACCCAGCCAAGUAGCGUGAAGGAUGACUGCCCUAUGGGUUGUAAACUUCUUUUAUAUGGGAAUAAAAUGUUCCACGUGUGGGAUUUUGUAUGUACCAUAUUAAUAAGGAUCGGCUAACUCCGUGCCAGCAGCCGCGGUCAUACGGAGGAUCCGAGCGUUAUCCGGAUUUAUUGGGUUUAAAUGGAGCGUAGGUGGAUUGGUAAGUCAGUUGUGAAAGUUUGCGGCUCAACCGUAAAAUUGCAGUUGAAACUGGCAGUCGUGAGUACAGGAGAGGUGGGUGGAAGUCGUGGUGUAGCGGUGAAAUGCUUAGAUAUCACGAAGAACUCCGAUUGCGAAGGCAGUUCACUGGACUGCAACUGACACUGAGGCUCGAAAGUGUGGGUAUCAAACAGGAUUAGAUACCCGUGUAGUC